This is a long non-coding RNA of Xenia sp. Carnegie-2017, 1137 nucleotides long. RefSeq lists it as uncharacterized. The transcript is spliced from 7 exons. NCBI's taxonomy places the organism in Eukaryota, Metazoa, Cnidaria, Anthozoa, Malacalcyonacea, Xeniidae. The record is from RefSeq and is a predicted model, not a curated record.
ACUGUGAUUGAGUUAUACAAAGAACUUCAGGUAUAAAGAGGACUGGUCCACUAGACCAAUUGCACUGCACCACUGGACCAACAUGGCGGUAAUGGCGGAUUGUUGCUACUAGAUGUGCUAGUGCUACACGAAUUUUCUCAAUACUGGCAUGUUUAUAUAUUUUAAACAUCGAUAGAAGAUGUGCUACAUUACUAGAGAAAUGGAAGAAAAGCUCUGCCAAGUUUUUCUAAUCUAGAGAAAUCAGUGAAGCCAAAGAAUAUGAACACAGCACGCUUCCUCAUUUUAGUCGAAGAAAUUCGAAUAUGAAGUGGCACACUGUUCUACAUUGGCAAACAGCAAGGGAAAUCAAUGGGUAAAAAAAUUGAUCACAUUCUAAGUGAUAUCCAUGGUAGCGAAAAGUUUGGUGGUCCCAUGGGGGGAAAACAAACACAGGCAAAUGUCAGCAUGCAUUUCUAUUGGAGGAAUAUGACAAAGAGUUUGUAAAUAUGUUUAAAAUAGUAAUCAAACUAAAACAUUGUGAUGCUAUGUUAUGUGUUGUUUAACAUAGAUUUCCAGCUGCCCCCAAUGCCAAAAAGUGGUGAAAAUCAAAAUAAUGGUUCCAGAACUUCAGCCUAUUUAUGGCCUUGGGAAAACUAUGGAAAAAUGGGCUAUAAGUAUGUCUUGUCUGGAACGUGCUUGUUUUCAAGCACAACCGAAGAAAGAUGACAGUGACAUCCAUGUAGAGAGUGAAAUUGUUCAAAUUGAUGUUGUAAAAAAUGAGGACGAAGAAUCUGAUUUCGAAAGUGAAAAGGAAGCAAUCACCUAAAGAGAUUUGCAAGAAGAUUUAAAGUGAACUCUGCAAACUUUUUGUCGAUGCCUAUUCCUUUUGGCUACCCUGCGAGAAAUUCAAGAGUUCAAAAUGAAUUUGAGGUGUUGCAAAUGCUUGAAAAAAGGAGGAUUUGCUUCAGUUUUCAAGGUACGAAGUAAAUUGGACGGCUGUCUCUAUGCGAUCAAAACAAUUCCUUUGAAUCCGAAAAGUGUGCUGCUUAAUUGCAAAAUUACUCGAGAAGAGAAGUUACUUUUUAGAUUGAAUGAUGAAAUUAUUGUAAGGUAAAAAGUAAUUUACUAUCAAAAAUGAAUCAAAAUUUUAUAACAUAA